This is a long non-coding RNA of Patiria miniata (bat star), 1455 nucleotides long. RefSeq lists it as uncharacterized. The transcript has 2 exons. The record is from RefSeq and is a predicted model, not a curated record. NCBI's taxonomy places the organism in Eukaryota, Metazoa, Echinodermata, Asteroidea, Valvatida, Asterinidae.
GUGAAUAAAUCUUUUUCUUUUUUUAAGUUAAUUAAGUUUUACACACCCCAGCUGCAGCUGCCUUUCUCGCUGGUCAGAAGUUGCAUUCAGAGUGCGCCAGUUAAAAGUUGCAUGCGGCGACCGAUAUUAUGGGCCACUAGUGGAGUGUUUUAUAGUAAAUACUGUGUAACUGUCAAGGGACAUAAAAGAAUAGGACCAUAAAAGAAUAGGACCAAUGAACAGGCGUCAACAAAAAAAUGCAAUCCGACAAUAAAAAAACAGAACUUGACCCUUAAAUGACAUUACAGUCGUUUGUGCAAGUGCAUGUUUGUUUUCUUUUCAAAUACUGAAACCGGCAAAAAGAUAUUCGAAUAUUCAGAUAUUCGGAACAGCCCUACUACCCGUCACAACUAUGGCUGUCGGGAUAGGUUUGGAAAACAUACACAACAUAAUGUUUGUAGCAGCUGAAUAUUACUGCUGGUAAAACAUUGGAAGGAAAAAAUCCAUUCUAGUUUAAACUCACUUUAUUCACAUUUCUCUGUCAAGUUAUUGGGAAAGUUUUCAGAAUGAAAAACAUUUAUUUCCUGCUACAAAAUAAUUUCGAUCAUUCUUUUUCCUUUUUACAAUGUAGAGUAUUUUUUUAUACUGAUAAUUUUUUUUAAAGGAGCUUACUUAAGUUAACCCAUCGUGUGUUUUCUUACGUAUUAACUGUGAAUAUUUGAAUCCAAUUAUCUGCAUUAGUUACACAGAAACAUUUAAGUUUUACAGUCUGACGUGAAUGUAAUCUUUUGCACUUUAUUUACUAAUACAAUUUCUUAACAAAAUUAUAAAAGUGACAGUUAAAAUGUAUAAUGCUACAAGCAUUAAAUUUCAUAGACCAUGUCACAUGUGGUGUCAUACCAAACAUUUUAGCAUCUUUCAUGCUAUUUUCCCACAUUGAACAGUUUGUCUGCGCAUAAUAUUUCAUAUGCAUUAUAUUUCAUUCAUAUUUCAAUAUAGAAAAAUGCAGUGCAAGAGAGCAUGGUUGACCGAAAGUUGGCACCAAAACAUCAAUUUUGUAAACAAAUGUGACAUGGUCUAUACAGAGUGUAACAGUACACUUUACAUAAUGCAAUAAAUGACAGAAAUAGUAUUUGCACAUGGAAUAGUUCUCCAAGUGAAUGUGUCGUUGAGAAGUACAACGAAAAAUAAUUAUUUGACAAAGUUGAAAGUUUUUAUUGUGCAGGCUUGCGAAGGGAACUGUGAUGACACAACCAAUAUUGUUCGUUAGUGUCAUCUACAGCAGCCCAAAUUCCCUGAGAAUUAGUGAUUAUUAGGGUUUUAACAAAAAGUUACCUGAACUAAACUAUUUAAAAGUGCCAGAUUUCUCAUAGACUUAAAAUAUUUGAAAACAUCAAAUCACCCAACACCAACUACUUGACAUUAUUCAGAACUUUGUGAAUUCACUAUUAAAAAAGAAGGGAUCUUGUGAAUAUA